Molecule: long non-coding RNA, 778 nt
Organism: Oxyura jamaicensis (ruddy duck)
Lineage: Eukaryota; Metazoa; Chordata; Aves; Anseriformes; Anatidae
Exons: 3
Source: RefSeq, a predicted model, not a curated record
GAAAGGCAGACCGUUUUAGCACCGGUGCGGUGAGGGUCAUAAAGCAGAGUUUAUGAUGGGAUUUACCAUGGCUGGGAGCCUGGCUGCAUCAAGCAUGUAACGAGGGCAAAAGAAUGACAUAGCAAAACGCAAGAGGAAAGGUGAACUCCAAACGGGCUUGAAAUACGUGCCACUCUGUACCGCUGAUCGUUCUCAAAAGAAGAUCUUCAAAUCUCUCAUACUUCUGAGCAGCCUGCAGGUACUGCCUGGCCCUUCCAGACACGAACCGUGGAGCAAAGGGUCCUGUUCCUAGCAGCACUGGUCCGUCUGUGGAAGUGCACUGAAGCUCCCAGCACGUUGGUGAGUAUGUGUGUGACAGAAGGGAGGAAGGGCGUCUUUCAGAGAGAGCUUCCUGCUUUCCCCUGGGAGCCUGCAGACCUUGCUCAGAGCAGCCUUUUCUCUGCUCCCACUGGCAAUGCCGCUUGGCAGGAGGGUGGGCUUGGAGCCCCCAGCCUGCCACGUGUGGCUGAGCUUUAGAGGUGCUCUUUGAAACUAGUCAGAACUCACUCGGAGGGUCCCAGGGUAACGUGCUCUGGCACAGCCCUGCAGCGUAAUUACAAUUGUAGUAAGCUGUAGCAAAUUGUAAGGUAAUUGCAGCUAAGUUGUCAAAAACAUUAAAGGACAGUCUAAUGAUUAAAGGACCAAAGGAAAAGACAAGGGGUCUCUCUGUGCCCCUCAACCAGAAGCCUUCCUAUCUGAUGCCAGAUGUGACACUGAAAUCUUCUGUGCCUCAGUUUCU